RNAcentral lists this ribosomal RNA (431 nucleotides) under uncultured bacterium. RNAcentral's name for it is "partial 16S ribosomal RNA". It matches the Rfam family "Bacterial small subunit ribosomal RNA", at positions 29 to 507 of the family's 1533-position model. The record is from RNAcentral.
AACGAACGCUGGCGGCAUGCCUAACACAUGCAAGUCGAACGAGACCUUCGGGUCUAGUGGCGCACGGGUGCGUAACGCGUGGGAACCUGCCCUUAGGUUCGGAAUAACUCCCCGAAAGGGGUGCUAAUACCGGAUAAUGUCUUCGGACCAAAGAUUUAUCGCCUUUGGAUGCCCGCGUUGGAUUAGCUAGUUGGUAGGGUAAAAGCCUACCAAGGCGACGAUCCAUAGCUGGUCUGAGAGGAUGAUCAGCCACACUGGGACUGAGACACGGCCCAGACUCCUACGGGAGGAAGCAGUGUGGAAUAUUGGACCAGGGGCGAAAGCCUGAUCCAGCAAUGCCGGGUGAGUGAUGAAGGCCUUAGGGUUGUAAAGCUCUUUUACCCGGGAUGAUAAUGACAGUACCGGGAGAAUAAGCUCCGGCUAACUCCGUG